Entelurus aequoreus (snake pipefish) is the source of this 926-nucleotide long non-coding RNA. RefSeq lists it as uncharacterized. The record is from RefSeq and is a predicted model, not a curated record. The transcript is spliced from 3 exons. NCBI's taxonomy places the organism in Eukaryota, Metazoa, Chordata, Actinopteri, Syngnathiformes, Syngnathidae.
ACGUAGCUGCUCACUGCUCUCAUCGGGAAGACGGCGCGCUCUGAUUGGAUGGGGGCCGGGGGGGAUGCAAACGUUCAUGUUUGUGAUGACGGCAUGGUCCCGCCCUCUUCCAUUCAUUGGCUGCUGCUCUCCCCCAGCAGCCAAUAGGUGGUCAUCUUCCCUUUGCCUUUGACUUGCAAGUCGCCUCUCAGCUCCAGCUGGAAGCAGCCGAACUCCUGCAGGACGGCGCAGGUGGCGGCCGACACGUGGAUCUUCAAGGCUGUGCGCACACACAGACACGCGUGGGUCAACGUGGCAACAUCACAAACGUCAUGUGUUCACCUUCUCCGCUGGACUCCAUCCUGGACGAGUCUGACCGCUGUGGACGCCGAUCCUCAGUUUAAGCUGCUCGUCGGGUCGAUGGCGGAUCUUGAAGCUGGUGACGGCGUCCAGCAGGGCGAGGGCCAUGCGCGCCACCUCCCGGCCGUGCAGCUUGCCGUUCCUCACCGGCAGCCCCGAGACCACCAUGUACGCGUCUCCGAUGGUCUCCACCUGGUGGCGCCAGUUGUGUUACACACUCCUGCCACGUCUCGAAUGGCAUACUUGCAUCAGUACACGUCACUCACCCUGCGAGAAGACAAAAGCUUAGCAAGCAAAAGGCUUGUAAAACUCUAUUGUGUGCGAUGGGAUGCGACAUGGAGGUGUCGGUUUCUUUGAUCAAAUGGACAGCCACAGGAAGACCUUGUCAUGACCCGAGAUCUACAAAGCAGAGAGGCAGCAGAACCUGACACCGCUCCAGGCACCUUUUCUUUAAACUGUUUAUGACCGAGGGCGGCAGCUGUUUAUGACCCCCUCCCCAUAGAAACAGCUGCAGCCAUGUAAUCAGGAAAUGCCAAAAUAAAUGAGGAGGUGUGGCGCUCCCUCCUCAGAGCGGCGGAGCGACAUUG